GGCUUCGUAGCUCAGGUGGUACAGUGUUUGCCGCGUUGAGGCAUGGUGUGUCUGUCGCUGGUUCGAAUCCAGUCGAAGCCC
Molecule: transfer RNA, 81 nt
Filed under: Paragonimus westermani
Lineage: Eukaryota; Metazoa; Platyhelminthes; Trematoda; Plagiorchiida; Troglotrematidae
Description: tRNA-Asn
Rfam family: tRNA
About the family: Transfer RNA (tRNA) molecules are approximately 80 nucleotides in length. Their secondary structure includes four short double-helical elements and three loops (D, anti-codon, and T loops).
Source: RNAcentral